GGCGAACGCUGGCGGCGUGCUUAACACAUGCAAGUUGAACGGUAAGGCCCUUCGGGGUACACGAGUGGCGAACGGGUGAGUAACACGUGGGUGAUCUGCCCUGCACUUCGGGAUAAGCCUGGGAAACUGGGUCUAAUACCGGAUAGGACCACUGCCUGCAUGGGUGGUGGUGGAAAGCUUUUGCGGUGUGGGAUGGGCCCGCGGCCUAUCAGCUUGUUGGUGGGGUGAUGGACGACCAAGGCGACGACGGGUAGCCGGCCUGAGAGGGUGACCGGCCACACUGGGACUGAGAUACGGCCCAGACUCCUACGGGAGGCAGCAGUGGGGAAUAUUGCACAAUGGGCGCAAGCCUGAUGCAGCGACGCCGCGUGAGGGAUGACGGCCUUCGGGUUGUAAACCUCUUUCAGCACCGACGAAGCGCAAGUGACGGUAGGUGCAGAAGAAGGACCGGCCAACUACGUGCCAGCCGCCGCGGUAA
Molecule: ribosomal RNA, 478 nt
Filed under: uncultured bacterium
Lineage: Bacteria
Description: partial 16S ribosomal RNA
Rfam family: Bacterial small subunit ribosomal RNA
Source: RNAcentral